RNAcentral lists this ribosomal RNA (494 nucleotides) under uncultured bacterium. RNAcentral describes it as "partial 16S ribosomal RNA". It matches the Rfam family "Bacterial small subunit ribosomal RNA", at positions 31 to 507 of the family's 1533-position model. The record is from RNAcentral.
GAACGCUGGCGGCGUGCCUAAUACAUGCAAGUCGAGCGAACAGACGAGGAGCUUGCUCCUCUGACGUUAGCGGCGGACGGGUGAGUAACACGUGGAUAACCUACCUAUAAGACUGGGAUAACUUCGGGAAACCGGAGCUAAUACCGGAUAAUAUAUUGAACCGCAUGGUUCAAUAGUGAAAGACGGUUUUGCUGUCACUUAUAGAUGGAUCCGCGCCGCAUUAGCUAGUUGGUAAGGUAACGGCUUACCAAGGCGACGAUGCGUAGCCGACCUGAGAGGGUGAUCGGCCACACUGGAACUGAGACACGGUCCAGACUCCUACGGGAGGCAGCAGUAGGGAAUCUUCCGCAAUGGGCGAAAGCCUGACGGAGCAACGCCGCGUGAGUGAUGAAGGUCUUCGGAUCGUAAAACUCUGUUAUUAGGGAAGAACAAAUGUGUAAGUAACUAUGCACGUCUUGACGGUACCUAAUCAGAAAGCCACGGCUAACUACGUG